UUUAUUGUUUUAUAUAUUUUUUUAUUUUGGACGAAAAUAUGAUGCAUAUGGAGGAUAGAAGCAUUUUACCGUAGUUGCAUCAGUAAUAUGAGGGAUCCUGUUAAGAAAAUAAAAAAAAUGCGACAAGAAAAUAUGCAAAAAUAACCUACGAGAAUUGGGUUGCCUCCCAACAAGCGCUAAGUUUAACGUCUUCAGCCAGACGCAGUGCAUCCUUAUCAAAUCAUA
This 225-nucleotide long non-coding RNA is filed under the name Phoenix dactylifera (date palm). Its description in RNAcentral is "long non-coding RNA (PDAC_LNC006553)". The record is from RNAcentral. Lineage: Eukaryota; Viridiplantae; Streptophyta; Magnoliopsida; Arecales; Arecaceae.